Molecule: ribosomal RNA, 380 nt
Filed under: uncultured eukaryote
Lineage: Eukaryota
Description: partial 18S ribosomal RNA
Rfam family: Eukaryotic small subunit ribosomal RNA
Source: RNAcentral
CAAUAGCGUAUAUUAAAGUUGUUGCAGUUAGAACGCUCGUAGUCGGAUUUCGGGGCGGGCCGACCGGUCUGCCGAUGGGUAUGCACUGGUCGGCGCGUCCUUCCUUCCGGAGACCGUCCCUACUCUUAACUGAGCGGGGGCGGGAGACGGGACUUUUACUUUGAAAAAAUCAGAGUGUUUCAAGCAGGCAGCUCGCUCUUGCAUGGAUUAGCAUGGGAUAAUGAAAUAGGACUUUGGUGCUAUUUUGUUGGUUUCGAACACCGAAGUAAUGAUGAGAAGGGACAGUCAGGGGCACUCGUAUUCCGCCGAGAGAGGUGAAAUUCUCAGACCAGCGGAAGACGAACCACUGCGAAANCANNNGCGAGGGAUGUUUUCACNGA